This 536-nucleotide ribosomal RNA is filed under the name uncultured bacterium. Its description in RNAcentral is "partial 16S ribosomal RNA". It matches the Rfam family "Bacterial small subunit ribosomal RNA", at positions 355 to 907 of the family's 1533-position model. The record is from RNAcentral.
UGGGGAAUAUUGCACAAUGGGCGAAAGCCUGAUGCAGCAACGCCGCGUGAGUGAUGAAGGCCCUCGGGUUGUAAAGCUCUGUCUUUUGGGACGAUAAUGACGGUACCAAAGGAGGAAGCCACGGCUAACUACGUGCCAGCAGCCGCGGUAAUACGUAGGUGGCAAGCGUUGUCCGGAUUUACUGGGCGUAAAGGAUGCGUAGGCGGAUUUUUAAGUGAGAUGUGAAAACCCUAAGCUUAACUUGGGGACUGCAUUUCAUACUGGAAAUCUAGAGUGCGGGAGAGGAGAAUGGAAUUCCUAGUGUAGCGGUGAAAUGCGUAGAGAUUAGGAAGAACACCAGUGGCGAAGGCGAUUCUCUGGACCGUAACUGACGCUGAGGCAUGAAAGCGUGGGUAGCAAACAGGAUUAGAUACCCUGGUAGUCCACGCCGUAAACGAUGAGUACUAGGUGUAGGAGGUAUCGACCCCUUCUGUGCCGCAGUUAACACAAUAAGUACUCCGCCUGGGAAGUACGAUCGCAAGAUUAAAACUCAAAUG